Bemisia tabaci is the source of this 1366-nucleotide non-coding RNA. NCBI's taxonomy places the organism in Eukaryota, Metazoa, Arthropoda, Insecta, Hemiptera, Aleyrodidae. The record is from RefSeq and is a predicted model, not a curated record.
AGUCUAUACGGCUUCGCCGCACGACUAAAAAGGGGACAUUGGUGAUAUCAUUUUCAAUGUUUGUUUACUGAUUUGCAUCGAAUUGGCGUCAGGGGGGGGUGAUGAGAUUUAAGCUCCGCGCGCGGUGACCGGUAGCCGAUGACGCGCAAGUGUUGUGAUAGCAGUGAUCAAAGCUGAUUGACACGGUACCAGAUGUCCGGUUGGUGAUAACAAUGGCUACAAACACUCCUGGUCUUGCUCUGAAAAACUCUGAUCUCUUCGACUUAUGGACACGGACAUCGAAGGAGGAGUGAGUUACAACAAUUGAGGGGAAACUCCGAGAACUAUUCGCAACCCAACGUGUCUCAGACGAAAAUUGGACAAAAUUUUUUAUAUUUUUUAUGGAUUUUUUAAAUUUUUUGUGGAUUUUUUGUUUUUAUCUGUCUUUUUUCUCUUGUCUCUUGUGAAGUUUAAUUUUGCUGUUAAUUUUCGAUGAUAUUUUACUGUGCUGAAUUUUUUAUUUUUUGAAAUGCCUUUUCCUUUUUAUUAAAGACUUGUAAUAUGACCAAAUCCAAGUGUUUGUCCUUUUUCUCAUGCUGAUCCUCGGAAACCUCAUUAUUUUAUUGUGUAUAUUUGAAUUUUUCAGCUUUCAUUUCACGCGGCAUUGAAAUUCGGAAUGAAAGAAAGGAUAGACCUUAGCCUUGUUAGGUCCAGAGUUAAAAAAUAAAAUAUGCAUCGUUAGUAUCUGUAAGUAUACAGUCUAUUUUUGGAGCGAGCUUGCGAGAAUCUAUACAUUUUUUUUUUUUUUUUUCUGUUGUUUUAUGGCUUUGUGUCUAAGCACCUGCAGCCAACUUUAGACUAGUGUGAUAGUGUAGAGAGAAGGUUACAGGUGACUAGUUACCGACUUUAGAGGUGUGAAAAAGAAAAAACUAAAAACAUGGAAAAAGGUGAGAGAUUGAUAAAAAGGAGGAGUUGAGUAGAGAGAGGGUGAGAACCCUUCACCAUUUUCACGCUCUGAUACCCGGCAGAGCGACUUCCUAUGACCAGAGACUGGGUAAUGGAAAACAAACAAAGUGAACAUACGGUAGGGAUUGAAUGUGUUAGAGAGAAUGAUUUGUUUGGACAAAAGGUAGAUUGAAUAAAACAGAGGGUAAGACGGUUGGUGGGAGUGAAAAAUAAAUAUAGGGAAAUUAUUAGUGUAAGAAUGAAGAUUUGGUAGAUUAGAGGUGGAUAUCAUUUUUAUCUAGAAAAAGGGCUAUGGAUUUAAGGGUAUUGAGGUCGCCGACCGAAAGAAGAUAUAGGGUUGAAUAGGGUGGGAAGAUUUCAAAUUUAUUUAUAAGUUCAGAAAAAAGGGUAUUUCUAUUUUUAAGUUUAUCACAUUGGAAAA